GCAGUGUUCCGGUCUGCUGCUGGCAUCAUUUUGAGAUGCGAGAGGAAAGUCCGGGCAGCAUAGGGUGCCUCUCUUCUGAAAGUAGAAGCUAUUGGCGACAGUAGGGUAUGGCAGAAGAAAACAACCGCCACGUUGUGGUAAGGGUGAGAAGGUGGUGUAAGAGACCACCAGCCGUUGGGUGAUCAGCGGGCUGUGCCACCAGAGGGCUGCAAGUUCAUGUAAACCGUCGUCUGAGGGUUGCCCGCCCGACUAACUCCGAUGGAGGGUAGAACGCUUGAGCCGUGUGGCGACAUACGGACUAGAUAAAUAGCAGGCACCAUCUUUAAAUAGAUGGCACAGAACCCGGCUUAUAGGAACAGUGCUUUC
Molecule: RNase P RNA, 366 nt
Filed under: Prevotella sp.
Lineage: Bacteria; Pseudomonadati; Bacteroidota; Bacteroidia; Bacteroidales; Prevotellaceae
Description: RNase P RNA component class A
Rfam family: Bacterial RNase P class A
About the family: Ribonuclease P (RNase P) is a ubiquitous endoribonuclease, found in archaea, bacteria and eukarya as well as chloroplasts and mitochondria. Its best characterised activity is the generation of mature 5'-ends of tRNAs by cleaving the 5'-leader elements of precursor-tRNAs. Cellular RNase Ps are ribonucleoproteins.
Source: RNAcentral